Molecule: ribosomal RNA, 497 nt
Filed under: uncultured bacterium
Lineage: Bacteria
Description: partial 16S ribosomal RNA
Rfam family: Bacterial small subunit ribosomal RNA
Source: RNAcentral
GAUGAACGCUGGCGGCGUGCCUAAUACAUGCAAGUCGAGCGAACGGACGAGAAGCUUGCUUUUCUGAUGUUAGCGGCGGACGGGUGAGUAACACGUGGAGAACCUAACGAUAAGACUGGGAUAACUUCGGGAAACCGGAGCUAAUACCGGAUAAUAUUUUGAACCGCAUGGUUCAAAAGUGAAAGACGGUCUUGCUGUCACUUAUAGAUGGAUCCGCGCUGCAUUAGCUAGUUGGUAAGGUAACGGCUUACCAAGGCAACGAUGCAUAGCCGACCUGAGAGGGUGAUCGGCCACACUGGAACUGAGACACGGUCCAGACUCCUACGGGAGGCAGCCGUAGGGCAUCUUCCGCAAUGGGCGAAAGCCUGACGGAGCAACGCCGCGUGAGUGAUGCAGGUCUUCGGAUCGUAAAACUCUGUUAUUAGGGAAGAACAUAUGUGUAAGUAACUGUGCACAUCUUGACGGUACCUAAUCAGAAAGCCACGGCUAACUACGUG